AGUAACACGUGACUAACCUACCCUUGAGUGGGGAAUAACUGAGGGAAACUUAGCUAAUACCGAUAAUACCUACGGGUCAAAGGAGCAAUUCGCUUAAGGAGGGGGUCGCGGCAGAUUUACUAGUUGGCGGGGUAAUGGCCACCAAGGGCAGUGAUCUGUAUCCGGCCUGAGAGGGCGCACGGACACACUGGGAACUGAAACACGGUCCAGACUCCUACGGGAGGCAGCAGUGGGGAAUUUUGCGCAAUGGGGGAAACCCUGACGCAGCAACGCCGCGUGGAGGAUGAAGCCCCUUGGGGUGUAAACUCCUUUCGAUCGGGAAGAUAAUGACGGUACC
RNAcentral lists this ribosomal RNA (337 nucleotides) under uncultured bacterium. RNAcentral's name for it is "bacterial SSU rRNA". It matches the Rfam family "Bacterial small subunit ribosomal RNA", at positions 109 to 479 of the family's 1533-position model. The record is from RNAcentral.